CAUGAUUGCUAGUUGUUCGUAGAAUUCAUCUAAAUUGAUCUCGCUGUUCAUGUUCACACGCUGCCAUCCUCUUCUUAUCUUCAGUCUUCAAGGCCCUCGGUGAUCUUCCUUCUUUCUUCGUCGUGAUUGCUAGGUGUUCGUAGAAUUCAUCUAAAUUGAUCUCGCUGUUCAUGUUCACACGCUGCCAUCCUCUUCUUAUCUUCAGUCUUCAAGGCCCUCGGUGAUCUUCCUUCUUUCUUCGUCGUGAUUGCUAGGUGUUCGUAGAAUUCAUCUAAAUUGAUCUCGCUGUUCAUGUUCACACGCUGCCAUCCUCUUCUUAUCUUCAGUCUUCAAGGCCCUCGGUGAUCUUCCUUCUUUCUUCGUCGUGAUUGCUAGGUGUUCGUAGAAUUCAUCUAAAUUGAUCUUGCUGUUCAUGUUCACAUGCUGCCAUCCUCUUCUUAUCUUCAGUCUUCAAGGCCCUCGGCGAUCUUCCUUCUUCUUUCUUCGUCGUGAUUGCUAGGUGUUCGUAGAAUUCAUCUAAAUUGAUCUCGCUGUUCAUGUUCACACGCUGCCAUCCUCUUCUUAUCUUCAGCCUUCAAAGCCCAUGGCGAUCUUCCUUCUUCUUUCUUCGUCGUGAUUGCUAGGUGUUCGUAGAAUUCAUCUAAAUUGAUCUCGCUGUUCAUGUUCACACGCUGCCAUCCUCUUCUUAUCUUCAGUCUUCAAGGCCCUCGGCGAUCUUCCUUCUUCUUUCUUCGUAGUGAUUGCUAAGUGUUCGUAGAAUACAUCUAAAUUGAUCUCGCUGUUGAUGUUCACAUGCUGCCAUCCUCUUCUUAUCUUCAGUCUUCAAGGCCCUCGGCGAUCUUCCUUCUUCUUUCUUCGUAGUGAUUGCUAAGUGUUCGUAGAAUACAUCUAAAUUGAUCUCGCUGUUGAUGUUCACAUGCUGCCAUCCUCUUUUUAUCUUCAGUCUUCAAAGGCCUCGGCGAUCUUCUUAUCUUCUUUCUUCGUCGUGAUUGCUAGGUGUUCGUAGAAUUCAUCUAAAUUGAUCUCGCUGUUUACACGCGCUGUCCUCUCCUCUUACUUCAUUCUUCACAAGCCUAUGUUAUCUUAAUUCUUCGUGUCAUCUUCAUCUUGAUUGCUAGGUAGUCGUAGUCUUCAUCUAAUUUGAUCUAGCUGUUCAUAGUCACACGCGGUCUUCUUUGUUCUUCUUGGUUUAGCUUA
Long non-coding RNA from Nymphalis io (European peacock), 1197 nucleotides. RefSeq lists it as uncharacterized. NCBI's taxonomy places the organism in Eukaryota, Metazoa, Arthropoda, Insecta, Lepidoptera, Nymphalidae. The record is from RefSeq and is a predicted model, not a curated record. The transcript has 2 exons.